RNAcentral lists this ribosomal RNA (253 nucleotides) under uncultured bacterium. Its description in RNAcentral is "partial 16S ribosomal RNA". It matches the Rfam family "Bacterial small subunit ribosomal RNA", at positions 524 to 776 of the family's 1533-position model. The record is from RNAcentral.
GACGUAGGAUGCAAGCGUUGUCCGGAUUUAUUGGGCGUAAAGAGUUCGUAGGCUGUUUGUUAAGUCUGAUGUUAAAGACUGGGGCUCAACCUCGGAAAUGCAUUGGAUACUGGCAGACUGGAGUGCAGUAGAGGCUAGUGGAAUUCCCAGUGUAGCGGUGAAAUGCGUAGAUAUUGGGAAGAACACCGGUGGCGAAGGCGGUGGUCUGGGCCGGCACUGACGCUGAGGAGCGAAAGCGUGGGGAGCGAACAGG